RNAcentral lists this transfer RNA (73 nucleotides) under Monodelphis domestica (gray short-tailed opossum). It matches the Rfam family "tRNA". From Rfam's summary of the family: Transfer RNA (tRNA) molecules are approximately 80 nucleotides in length. Their secondary structure includes four short double-helical elements and three loops (D, anti-codon, and T loops). Further hydrogen bonds mediate the characteristic L-shaped molecular structure. tRNAs have two regions of fundamental functional importance: the anti-codon, which is responsible for specific mRNA codon recognition, and the 3' end, to which the tRNAs corresponding amino acid is attached (by aminoacyl-tRNA synthetases). tRNAs cope with the degeneracy of the genetic code in two manners: having more than one tRNA (with a specific anti-codon) for a particular amino acid; and 'wobble' base-pairing, i.e. permitting non-standard base-pairing at the 3rd anti-codon position. Lineage: Eukaryota; Metazoa; Chordata; Mammalia; Didelphimorphia; Didelphidae. The record is from Rfam by way of RNAcentral.
GCCUCUUUAGCACAGUAGGCAGCAUGUCAGUCUUGUAAGCUGAAGGUCCUGAGUUCAAUCCCCAAAAGAGGGA